This 284-nucleotide small nuclear RNA is filed under the name Jaculus jaculus (lesser Egyptian jerboa). Its description in RNAcentral is "7SK RNA (ENSJJAG00000003465.1)". It matches the Rfam family "7SK RNA". From Rfam's summary of the family: 7SK was discovered as an abundant small nuclear RNA in the mid-70s but a possible function has only recently been suggested. Two independent studies have found that 7SK RNA binds the CDK9/cyclin T complex (known as elongation factor P-TEFb). Lineage: Eukaryota; Metazoa; Chordata; Mammalia; Rodentia; Dipodidae. The record is from Rfam by way of RNAcentral.
GCGUGUGAAGGCCGAUCUGGCUGUGACAUCUGUCACCCCAUUGAUGGCCAGAGUUGGUGCGGCUGAUCUGGCCGGCCAGGCGGGUGUCUCCUUCCUCCCUGGCCACUCCGUGUGCGUCCCUCCCGAGCUGCUCCCCCGUCGAGGGGACAGCUUGCCCCAAGCAGAGGAGGACAGUCUUGGGUCAAUGGUAUGCAAGUAGCUAGAACCUCCCAACAAGCUCUCAAGGAAACAGAGCGGCGAUUCGUAGAGCUCCACUGACUUUCUCCUUUUUAUUCAGUCUGGGA